ACCACCUACGGAUUUAAAAGUCAUGGAGAGACUAAAUUGUCACGUCGAGAAAAUAUCCUUCCUCAGUGACAAGAUAGUAGAGAAACAGCACUGUUCUUCCUGAUUAUUAUUUACAUCUGGAUAAUCUCUGAGUUUCCUCCGUGUAGGCUUUUUACGCACAGCAGAAACGCGUGGAUUAAUACAAAUACUAAACUAUUUGGGGGAACAGAGAACGUGAAAAUGGACGAGAAGAAGAAAGCCGUGACAAUGGCGGAGAUCUUUGUGGGCUAUACUCGGUCUUGUCUCAGGAUGGACCUGAGCCCUAGGACCAUGCCUCAGGACUACCUGGCAUGAUGACUCCUUGCUGUCUCAGUCCACCUGGCCGUGCUGCUGCUCCAGUUUCAACUGUACUGCCUGCGGCUAUGGAACCCUGACCUGUUCACCGGACGUGCAACCUGCCCCAGACCUGCUGUUUUCAACUCUCUAGAGACAGCAGGAGCAGUAGAGAUACUCUCAAUGAUCGGCUAUGAAAAGCCAACUGACAUUUACUCCUGGGGUGCUGACCUGUUGCACCCUCGACAACUACUGUGAUUAUUAUUAUUUGACCAUGCUGGUCAUUUUUGAACAUCUUGGCCAUGUUCUGUUAUAAUCUCCACCUGGCACAGCCAGGAGAGGACUGCCCACCCCUCAUAGCCUGGCUUCUUCCUAGGUUGUGGCCUUUCUAGGGAGUUUUUCCUAGCCACUGUGCUUCUACACCUGCAUUGCUUGCUGUUUGGGGUUUUAGGCUGGGUUUCUGUACAGCAGUUUGAGAUGUCAGCUGAUCUAAGAAGGGCUAUAUAAAUACAUUUGAUACUUAACAUGUAGUAUACUUAACAUCUAGUAUACGUAACAUACUACCUGAGACAACUUUGCUAACUGUCUCUGUACUCUAU
Molecule: long non-coding RNA, 911 nt
Organism: Oncorhynchus masou masou (cherry salmon)
Lineage: Eukaryota; Metazoa; Chordata; Actinopteri; Salmoniformes; Salmonidae
Exons: 3
Source: RefSeq, a predicted model, not a curated record